RNAcentral lists this long non-coding RNA (240 nucleotides) under Elaeis guineensis (African oil palm). RNAcentral's name for it is "long non-coding RNA (EGUI_LNC073328)". Lineage: Eukaryota; Viridiplantae; Streptophyta; Magnoliopsida; Arecales; Arecaceae. The record is from RNAcentral.
UCUGACAGUCUACAGUGAGUUGACAAUUCCUCAAUUGUCCGCUCCAUUAAUGACGGCGCCAUGCCGCGCCUCACUAUAAAUAUCGGGGAAGGCAACAGUGCAGGGGGACUUCGAAACCACAGGCUUGCUCCCUCUCUCUCCCUCUUUCUCUCUCUCUCGUUUGAGCUCUCUAUCUUCAUUUCACUGUUGCCCAGUCACCUCUCUGACUUGACCGUCGGAGGGUCCCCGCCGGAGCCGCCU